GGAGAGAUGGCAGAGUUGGUUUAAUGUACCUGAUUCGAAAUCAGGCGUACCUUCACGGGUACCGGGGGUUCGAAUCCCUCUCUCUCCG
RNAcentral lists this transfer RNA (88 nucleotides) under Bacteroidota bacterium. RNAcentral's name for it is "Bacteroidetes bacterium tRNA-Ser". It matches the Rfam family "tRNA". Rfam says of the family: Transfer RNA (tRNA) molecules are approximately 80 nucleotides in length. RNAcentral also lists the same sequence under 1 other name. The record is from RNAcentral. Lineage: Bacteria; Pseudomonadati; Bacteroidota.